This is a long non-coding RNA of Bufo bufo (common toad), 350 nucleotides long. RefSeq lists it as uncharacterized. The transcript has 3 exons. The record is from RefSeq and is a predicted model, not a curated record. NCBI's taxonomy places the organism in Eukaryota, Metazoa, Chordata, Amphibia, Anura, Bufonidae.
CCAAUAUUUUGCUUUCUUUCUCAGUGACACGGGACGAAUAUUCCCCGAAUCGGUGGUCUUUACAGUGGUCUUCUUAAUAUCUGCCCUUUUUGGAGCUGGCAACGCUUCCAUCAUGUACCGGUUCAUGAUCAUCCGGUCUGAACAAUCAGAGAGGCGACAUAUCAUCUGCCAGAGAAUCCUCUAUGUCGUUGCAUGGAUGGGCUGCAUUGGGACCAUUGUGACCGCCAUAGUUUCGAUGAGGAUCAGUCCUACAGUCCACAGGAUCGGCGCAGGACCGGCAUUUUUCUUUUGUGCCGUUUACAACCUAGGUCAAGCUGUAUGCCUGUACAAGAAAUCCUUCAGCAGUCGCC